GGCUUCAAACAAUCCUCCUGAUUCAGCCUUCUCAGUAGCUGGGACUACAGCACAUGCCACUGCACCUGGCCAAGAGAUAACUCUUAAGUGUAAGAUUGGACUGGUAAUGGUGGCGGCAUUUAACUGUCUCCUUCUCCACCAAAUCUCCCCAUAAGUUCAGACUGGUGUCUUUCUGUCUCUUCUUGAAAGACACUGAGUUACUGGACCAUCAGAGCCCCUGAUGCUCUCCUGUUUGUGGAGAAAGAGGACACUGUAGAAGACAUCCAGUCCUCUUGCUGCUGCCCCACCCAAAGAGGUUUCUUGGGUGAAGAGACUCUGAAUAUAUUCAUCUGGCUGGAAUGGAGCUGAGCAGAAAAACAAAAGUUAAGGUAGUUAAACCCUGGAUUGUUUUGCAAUAAAAGCAACCACCGUUUAUUGAGUUAGGUGCAUAUAUGUUAUUUCAUUUAAGUUGGAAGUAGGAAGGAUCUAAGAAAAAGCAAUGGAUCUGAAGUAGUUGUUUUGGCACAACUCCUAGGGCUGGGUUUUGGGCUUCUGACUCUUCAAAACUUACAUGUCAGCAACCCCAAGUAUUAGUUUCUUGUUGCUGCUGUAAUAAGUUGCUACAAACUUAGUGGCUUAAAACAGCACAGAUUUAUUAUCUUAUAGUUCUAGAGUCAUUUAUUGUGUUCCUCUGUGCAUUGUCAGUGUAAUGGGGUAUGUAUGCCAGCCUGUAUGGCAGUGUAAGAUAUUAAAAUAAGAACAAAGCCCAGUUUUCUUAGCACUGCUUGUAUCAAAGUGUGAUUUCCAUAUAAGCUCACAUCAUAGGGAAUCAGUUGCAAUCUGGUUUCAUGGAUAACAAGACCAGGUUAUGGAAUAUUUUUCAUUGCAUGAAGCCUGUUAAAAGCCAGAAGAGAAAAGCAAUACUUUCUGCUGACAUUGGGAUCAACUGAGAAUGUGGUGGGCUUAGUGGUAUUAAAUAAGAUAAAAAGUUGAAAUCAAAAUUUAAAACUGUCUAGAUGUAGAUAUUAGAUAUUUAUUUACAUAAAAUGAAAAUUCUGAAGUGGAUAUUUUUGCUGUUCUGAACUUCUUCAAGAAAAAUCUGGAGAAAGCAAAACUGUGAUUUAAGUUCUUUACCCACUGUGCCUAAUACCUUACUAUCUUUUAAAGAAUUUGCUUUUUUACAAGCUACAGAAACAUUGCUCUGAAGCUUCGUAUGGACAUUAAAGCUUAACUGUGUUUA
RNAcentral lists this long non-coding RNA (1219 nucleotides) under Homo sapiens (human). RNAcentral's name for it is "HSALNT0308160". Lineage: Eukaryota; Metazoa; Chordata; Mammalia; Primates; Hominidae. The record is from RNAcentral.